This 586-nucleotide ribosomal RNA is filed under the name uncultured bacterium. RNAcentral describes it as "bacterial SSU rRNA". It matches the Rfam family "Bacterial small subunit ribosomal RNA", at positions 59 to 642 of the family's 1533-position model. The record is from RNAcentral.
CAGUCGAACGGUAACAGGUCUUCGGACGCUGACGAGUGGCGAACGGGUGAGUAAUACAUCGGAACGUGCCCAGUCGUGGGGGAUAACUACUCGAAAGAGUAGCUAAUACCGCAUACGAUCUGAGGAUGAAAGCGGGGGACCUUCGGGCCUCGCGCGAUUGGAGCGGCCGAUGGCAGAUUAGGUAGUUGGUGGGAUAAAAGCUUACCAAGCCGACGAUCUGUAGCUGGUCUGAGAGGACGACCAGCCACACUGGGACUGAGACACGGCCCAGACUCCUACGGGAGGCAGCAGUGGGGAAUUUUGGACAAUGGGCGAAAGCCUGAUCCAGCAAUGCCGCGUGCAGGAUGAAGGCCUUCGGGUUGUAAACUGCUUUUGUACGGAACGAAAAAGCUUCUCCUAAUACGAGAGGCCCAUGACGGUACCGUAAGAAUAAGCACCGGCUAACUACGUGCCAGCAGCCGCGGUAAUACGUAGGGUGCGAGCGUUAAUCGGAAUUACUGGGCGUAAAGCGUGCGCAGGCGGUUAUGUAAGACAGAUGUGAAAUCCCCGGGCUCAACCUGGGAACUGCAUUUGUGACUGCAUGGCU